AGGCCUAACACAUGCAAGUCGAACGGUAACAGAAAGCAGCUUGCUGCUUUGCUGACGAGUGGCGGACGGGUGAGUAAUGUCUGGGAAACUGCCCGAUGGAGGGGGAUAACUACUGGAAACGGUAGCUAAUACCGCAUAACGUCGCAAGACCAAAGAGGGGGACCUUCGGGCCUCUUGCCAUCGGAUGUGCCCAGAUGGGAUUAGCUAGUAGGUGGGGUAAAGGCUCACCUAGGCGACGAUCCCUAGCUGGUCUGAGAGGAUGACCAGCCACACUGGAACUGAGACACGGUCCAGACUCCUACGGGAGGCAGCAGUGGGGAAUAUUGCACAAUGGGCGCAAGCCUGAUGCAGCCAUGCCGCGUGUAUGAAGAAGGCCUUCGGGUUGUAAAGUACUUUCAGCGGGGAGGAAGGGAGUAAAGUUAAUACCUUUGCUCAUUGACGUUACCCGCAGAAGAAGCACCGGCUAACUCCGUGCCAGCAGCCGCGGUAAUACGGAGGGUGCAAGCGUUAAUCGGAAUUACUGGGCGUAAAGCGCACGCAGGCGGUUUGUUAAGUCAGAUGUGAAAUCCCCGGGCUCAACCUGGGAACUGCAUCUGAUACUGGCAAGCUUGAGUCUCGUAGAGGGGGGUAGAAUUCCAGGUGUACCGGUGAAAUGCGUAGAGAUCUGGAGGAAUACCGGUGGCGAAGGCGGCCCCCUGGACGAAGACUGACGCUCAGGUGCGAAAGCGUGGGGAGCAAACAGGAUUAGAUACCCUGGUAGUCCACGCCGUAAACGAUGUCGACUUGGAGGUUGUGCCCUUGAGGCGUGGCUUCCGGAGUUAACGCGUUAAGUCGACCGCCUGGGGAGUACGGCCACAAGGUUAAAACUCAAAUGAAUUGACGGGGGCCCGCACAAGCGGUGGGGCAUGUGGUUUAAUUCGAUGCAACGCGAAGAACCUUACCUGGUCUUGACAUCCACGGAAGUUUUCAGAGAUGAGAAUGUGCCUUCGGGAACCGUGAGACAGGUGCUGCAUGGCUGUCGUCAGCUCGUGUUGUGAAAUGUUGGGUUAAGUCCCGCAACGAGCGCAACCCUUAUCCUUUGUUGCCAGCGGUCCGGCCGGGAACUCAAAGGAGACUGCCAGUGAUAAACUGGAGGAAGGUGGGGAUGACGUCAAGUCAUCAUGGCCCUUACGACCAGGGCUACACACGUGCUACAAUGGCGCAUACAAAGAGAAGCGACCUCGCGAGAGCAAGCGGACCUCAUAAAGUGCGUCGUAGUCCGGAUUGGAGUCUGCAACUCGACUCCAUGAAGUCGGAAUCGCUAGUAAUCGUGGAUCAGAAUGCCACGGUGAAUACGUUCCCGGGCCUUGUACACACCGCCCGUCACACCAUGGGAGUGGGUUGCAAAAGAAGUAGGUAGCUUAACCUUCGGGAGGGCGCUUACCACUUUGUGAUUCAUGACUGGGGUGAAAU
This 1452-nucleotide ribosomal RNA is filed under the name uncultured organism. RNAcentral's name for it is "SSU rRNA". It matches the Rfam family "Bacterial small subunit ribosomal RNA". The record is from RNAcentral.